GGGCGUAAGAGCUCGUAGGCGGUUCAGCAAGUCGGGUGUGAAAACUCUGGGCUUAACCCAGAGCCUGCACCCGAAACUGCUGUGACUAGAGUUUGGUAGGGGAGCGGGGAAUUCCUGGUGUAGCGGUGAAAUGCGCAGAUAUCAGGAGGAACACCGGUGGCGAAGGCGCCGCUCUGGGCCAAUACUGACGCUGAGGAGCGAAAGCGUGGGUAGCAAACAGGAUUAGAUACCCUGGUAGUCCACGCCGUAAACGUUGGGCACUAGGUGUGGGUCUCAACCAACGAGAUCCGCGCCGUCGCUAACGCAUUAAGUGCCCCGCCUGGGGAGUACGGUCGCAAGACUAAAACUCAAGGGAAUUGACGGGGGCCCGCACAAGCAGCGGAGCGUGUUGCUUAAUUCGAUGCUACGCGAAGAACCUACCUAGGUUAAAUCAUAGUGAAAAGCCACAGAGAUAUGGUGUCCUUCGGGGCGCUAUGAAGGUGGUGCAUGGCUGUCGUCAGCUCGUGUCGUGAGAUGUUGGGUUAAGUCCCGCAACGAGCGCAACCCUUGUUCUAUGUUGCCAGCACGUAAUGGUGGGGACUCGUAGAAGACUGCCGGGGUCAACUCGGAGGAAGGUAAU
RNAcentral lists this ribosomal RNA (619 nucleotides) under uncultured Actinomycetes bacterium. Its description in RNAcentral is "bacterial SSU rRNA". It matches the Rfam family "Bacterial small subunit ribosomal RNA", at positions 556 to 1177 of the family's 1533-position model. Lineage: Bacteria; Bacillati; Actinomycetota; Actinomycetes. The record is from RNAcentral.